This 406-nucleotide ribosomal RNA is filed under the name uncultured bacterium. RNAcentral describes it as "partial 16S ribosomal RNA". It matches the Rfam family "Bacterial small subunit ribosomal RNA", at positions 30 to 526 of the family's 1533-position model. The record is from RNAcentral.
AUUGAACGCUGGCGGCAGGCCUAACACCUGCAAGUCGAACGAGUGGCGGACGGGUGAGUAAUGUCUGGGAAACUGCCUGAUGGAGGGGGAUAACUACUGGAAACGGUAGCUAAUACCGCAUACCAUCAGAUGUGCCCAUAUGGGAUUAGCUAGUUGGUGGGGUAAGCGCUCCCCAAGGAGACGAUCCCUAUCUGGUCUGAGAGGAUGACCAGCAACAGUGGAACUGAGACAGGGUCCAGACUCCUACGGGAGGCAGCAGUGGGGAAGAUUGCACAAUGGGCGCAAGCCUGAGGCAGCCAUGCCGCGUGUAUGAAGAAGGCCUUCGGGUUGUAAAGUACUUUCAGCGGGGAGGCGUUACCCGCAGAAGAAGCACCGGCUAACUCCGUGCCAGCAGCCGCGGUAAUAC